CAGCAUGUUUCCAGGGCUGUGGCUAGUUGUAGCCAUGGGGUUUCCAGCUGCUUACGAGGGCAACCUGGAGACACUUUGACAGCUCAGGUUAGCAUAAUACCUGCAGCUGCCACUCGUCUUUUCUGCAAUA
This is a small nucleolar RNA of Molossus molossus (Pallas's mastiff bat), 130 nucleotides long. RefSeq annotates it as small nucleolar RNA SNORA44. Lineage: Eukaryota; Metazoa; Chordata; Mammalia; Chiroptera; Molossidae. The record is from RefSeq and is a predicted model, not a curated record. The transcript has a single exon.